CCUCUGACAUGGGGAUUGAGAAUGCUUCGGCUAUGAAAAGCGUGGUGUCUGACUCAGGACACAGCUCCCACAGCCCUAAGUGGGCAAAUGCCACACAGUGUCAAGCAUGAACCACCUCUGAAGGAGCAUUUACUAUCUCAAGACCUUUGGGCAUCUUGUCCCUUCUACCUGGAAUACCCUUCCUUCAAAAUUCAGAGCCAAAAGCAAAAAGCGUUCGCUGAUCGCAGAGGGGGAGAGGGAUGUGGAAGGGCUUGGGGCGCAGAAUUAGUUGCUACCUCCUCUGGGCGUUCACAGGCCAAAUUUCCUUGGUGUGGCACGUAGCAUUCUGUGAUUGUGCCUGUUUCCCUGUGGUCUGGUCCUGUGCCUAUUGGCCCAAUUACACUGGGAGUCAUACA
This 395-nucleotide long non-coding RNA is filed under the name Pongo abelii (Sumatran orangutan). RNAcentral describes it as "lincRNA". The record is from RNAcentral. Lineage: Eukaryota; Metazoa; Chordata; Mammalia; Primates; Hominidae.